GGAAACGGGUUAAUAUUCCCGUACUUGGUGUUACUGCGAAGGGGGGACGGAGAAGGCUAUGUUGGCCGGGCGACGGUUGUCCCGGUUUAAGCGUGUAGGUGUGUGUUCCAGGUAAAUCCGGUUCACUUUAACACUGAGGCGUGAUGACGAGGCACUACGGUGCUGAAGCAACAAAUGCCCUGCUUCCAGGAAAAGCCUCUAAGCAUCAGGUAACAUCAAAUCGUACCCCAAACCGACACAGGUGGUCAGGUAGAGAAUACCAAGGCGCUUGAGAGAACUCGGGUGAAGGAACUAGGCAAAAUGGUGCCGUAACUUCGGGAGAAGGCACGCUGACAC
This 336-nucleotide ribosomal RNA is filed under the name Salmonella enterica. RNAcentral describes it as "partial 23S ribosomal RNA". It matches the Rfam family "Bacterial large subunit ribosomal RNA", at positions 1421 to 1757 of the family's 2925-position model. RNAcentral also lists the same sequence under 1 other name. The record is from RNAcentral. Lineage: Bacteria; Pseudomonadati; Pseudomonadota; Gammaproteobacteria; Enterobacterales; Enterobacteriaceae.